Molecule: ribosomal RNA, 468 nt
Filed under: uncultured bacterium
Lineage: Bacteria
Description: partial 16S ribosomal RNA
Rfam family: Bacterial small subunit ribosomal RNA
Source: RNAcentral
GACGAACGCUGGCGGCGUGCUUAACACAUGCAAGUCGAACGGAGAGGCCCUGCUUUUGUGGGGUGCUCGAGUGGCGAACGGGUGAGUAACACGUGAGUAACCUGCCCUUGACUUUGGGAUAACUUCAGGAAACUGGGGCUAAUACCGGAUAGGAGCUCCUGCUGCAUGGUGGGGGUUGGAAAGUUUCGGCGGUUGGGGAUGGACUCGCGGCUUAUCAGCUUGUUGGUGGGGUAGUGGCUUACCAAGGCUUUGACGGGUAGCCGGCCUGAGAGGGUGACCGGCCACAUUGGGACUGAGAUACGGCCCAGACUCCUACGGGAGGCAGCAGUGGGGAAUAUUGCACAAUGGGCGGAAGCCGUAUGCAGCAACGCCGCGUGCGGGAUGACGGCCUUCGGGUUGUAAACCGCUUUCGCCUGUGACGAAGCGUGAGUGACGGUAAUGGGUAAAGAAGCACCGGCUAACUACGUG